Molecule: small RNA, 899 nt
Filed under: Pan troglodytes (chimpanzee)
Lineage: Eukaryota; Metazoa; Chordata; Mammalia; Primates; Hominidae
Description: retained intron
Source: RNAcentral
AAAUGAUGUCCGUAUGGUGAUUGAAUAUGCCAGAUUACGAGGAAUUCGAGUCCUGCCAGAAUUUGAUACCCCUGGGCAUACACUAUCUUGGGGAAAAGGUCAGAAAGACCUCCUGACUCCAUGUUACAGUAGACAAAACAAGUUGGACUCUUUUGGACCUAUAAACCCUACUCUGAAUACAACAUACAGCUUCCUUACUACAUUUUUCAAAGAAAUUAGUGAGGUGUUUCCAGAUCAAUUCAUUCAUUUGGGAGGAGAUGAAGUGGAAUUUAAAUGUUGGGAAUCAAAUCCAAAAAUUCAAGAUUUCAUGAGGCAAAAAGGCUUUGGCACAGAUUUUAAAAAACUAGAAUCUUUCUACAUUCAAAAGGUUUUGGAUAUUAUUGCAACCAUAAACAAGGGAUCCAUUGUCUGGCAGGAGGUUUUUGAUGAUAAAGCGAAGCUUGCGCCGGGCACAAUAGUUGAAGUAUGGAAAGACAGCGCAUAUCCUGAGGAACUCAGUAGAGUCACAGCAUCUGGCUUCCCUGUAAUCCUUUCUGCUCCUUGGUACUUAGAUUUGAUUAGCUAUGGACAAGAUUGGAGGAAAUACUAUAAAGUGGAACCUCUUGAUUUUGGUGGUACUCAGGAACAGAAACAACUUUUCAUUGGUGGAGAAGCUUGUCUAUGGGGAGAAUAUGUGGAUGCAACUAACCUCACUCCAAGAUUAUGGCCUCGGGCAAGUGCUGUUGGUGAGAGACUCUGGAGUUCCAAAGAUGUCAGAGAUAUGGAUGACGCCUAUGACAGACUGACAAGGCACCGCUGCAGGAUGGUCAAGUAAGAAAUCUAUUAAGUCCAGUGUGAUUUUUAACCUUCUUAUUCAGUGUUAGUUUUUUUUGCUAUAAAUAGAAAUGUAUGUUACCUAA